This 17-nucleotide microRNA is filed under the name Macrophomina phaseolina MS6. RNAcentral's name for it is "miR-3656". The record is from RNAcentral. Lineage: Eukaryota; Fungi; Ascomycota; Dothideomycetes; Botryosphaeriales; Botryosphaeriaceae.
CGCGGGUGCGGGCGUGG